GGAACAGUUGCUUACCUUCACGCUGUGGGGUGUUCAAGAGAAGAUUAGCAAACAUCAAGCAAAUCAAGUUCAAAAUGUGCUUCAGUCAAAGAUGCGAACCAUCUGUCCACGUCUCCAUUAGGAAUCAGCCUUUGGCUGAGGAAGGCCAGUGCUCUCCCUGUGCUAGGAUGAGAAACGUGCAUCACUCAUGCAGAGCUGUCUGUGAACUGUCUUGACCAGCAACAACACAGCCCCUGCAGACGACGCUAAUGCAAUGCCGUGACACCACACGUCACGCUGCAGGGACAACAUGGCAGAGAUUCCUGUAAGUCUUGGGUUAUUUCUGAGUGCUGGUUAUCGUGGCAUCUGAAAAUGUAAAUAAGUGAUGUACCCUGUGGGGUAGCUCUGCUGCAGGCACCCCGGGGACCUGCUGGUGACCCUGCCCUUCUCCUGCUGCGAUCAUCCCAGGCCAGCGUGACACUCAGCAGCGUGGACGUCUCUCUGCAAACGCCCAAAUGCAGUGUAUGAAAUGUCAUCCCUAGAAAUGGCUUCAUUUGGGAUAAAGCUUUGAACUUGCGUGCGUGCCCCGCACCCCGUGGCGGACUGAGUCACUGCUUUGCUGUUGCGGCGUGGUGAGUAAAACUUUCCCAGGGGAGCCGGAGUUGAGUGAGAAAGGGAUGCAGGACACGCAGGAGCUGACACAUCUCUAUGGAUUUAAGUCGCUGUUUCCACAAAUGCUACUCACAUGCCCACACGUGUAGGGCAGGACUGUCACGCGUCCACUCUGCUCAGCUUUCCAGGCCGGAUCUGGUCCCAGCCAUUCUACCUGACCCAGACUCCCCGCACCCCUGCCAUUCCCCCAGCUGCCGUCCUGUGUCUCCUGAUUUCUGCGUUUUUGAUCCUGAGGCUCUCUGCCUCUCUGCCUCCUCCCUGGAGGCCGUGCAAAUCCUGUUCUCCUUCCAGCGGUGAGUUCCUCCUGCUGACCACCUCCCCCGAUGCCCUCCACGCUGCACACUGGGCUGGUCUGCAGAGGUCGAAUGCACUCCCUGGUGACUUACACAUCUCACAAGUGCCCUCCAUCACCUGCUUGUGAACUCCUGACCACAGCAGCCUACUCCAUGUCCCCCUGUGGAUGCUGCAAUGCCCAGCACCACACUGGUGGCUCAAAGACUGCAUGCCUGAGACGGGGUCCAAACCCCUCUUCAACUGUCCUCCAAGCUUCAGGUCCACCGUGACCUCCCCCAACUCUGCUGCAGCUGCCGUGGUGCCAGCCCCCUGCCCCUCUCCUCCACCUCCAUAGAUCAGGCUUCAGUGUCUGGGGACCUGGGGACUGCUGUCCUCCUUCCCAGCAUGAAGUUCUACUGCAAGGGCCACUCUCCCUGUACAGGCCUUCCUGACCCCUCGUCCCUGGAAAGCCCUCUCCAGGGCCCUCGGCCUCGCUGUCUCACAUCACUCGCCUCCCUACCCCACCUCCCUCCUCGCACCUGGGACGCAGGUGCCCUCCGGUCACACCCUUCCAUCCCGUGUGGUGCUGAGCCCCUCACACACACGAGGGGCCCCGGAAUCACCUGCCACGUGAAUAAACAAAGUCAGAUCUGAAAUGCUUAAAAGCAAAUUAAACUUAACUCAUAAAAGGAGAAGAAAAAUGUUCAUUUAGAAAAGUUGUAUCUGUUUUCUUUCCAAAUAAAUUUACUUGUAGGA
Molecule: long non-coding RNA, 1680 nt
Filed under: Homo sapiens (human)
Lineage: Eukaryota; Metazoa; Chordata; Mammalia; Primates; Hominidae
Description: HSALNT0253477
Source: RNAcentral